AGGGAUCUGGUUAAAAUGCAGAUUCUUCUCUGUAGCGGGGACUCUAGAUUCUGCAUUUCUACUAUGCACUCAGGUGAUG
Molecule: microRNA precursor, 79 nt
Filed under: Dasypus novemcinctus (nine-banded armadillo)
Lineage: Eukaryota; Metazoa; Chordata; Mammalia; Cingulata; Dasypodidae
Description: miRNA (ENSDNOG00000044817.1)
Source: RNAcentral